UGCAGUCGAACGCAGUAGCAAUACUGAGUGGCAAACGGGUGAGUAUAAUGUGGGAAACCGCCUUUUGGUUCGGAAUAACACGGGGAAACUUGUGCUAAUACCGGAUAAGCCCUUACGGGGAAAGUUUUAAUGCCGAAAGAUGAGCCUGCACUUGAUUAGCUAGUUGGUAAGGUAAAAGCUUACCAAGGCAACGAUCAAUAGCUGUUCUUAGAGGAAGACCAGCCACAUUGGGACUGAGACACGGCCCAGACUCCUACGGGAGGCAGCAGUGGGGAAUCUUGCACAAUGGGGGAAACCCUGAUGCAGCGAUGCCGCGUGAGUGAAGAAGGCCCUUGGGUUGUAAAACUCUUUCGUCGGGGAAGAAAAUGACUGUACCCGAAUAAGAAGGUCCGGCUAACUUCGUGCCAGCAGCCGCGGUAAUACGAAGGGACCUAGCGUAGUUCGGAAUUACUGGGCUUAAAGAGCUCGUAGGUGGUUAAAAAAGUUGAUGGUGAAAUCCCAAGGCUCAACCUUGGAACUGCCAUCAAAACUUUUUAGCUAGAGUGUGAUAGAGGUAAGUGGAAUUUCUAGUGUAGAGGUGAAAUUCGUAGAUAUUAGAAAGAACACCAAAUGCGAAGGCAACUUACUGGGUCACUACUGACACUGAGGAGCGAAAGCAUGGGUAGCGAAGAGGAUUAGAUACCCUCGUAGUCCAUGCCGUAAACGAUGUGUGCUAGACGUUGGAAGUUUAUUUUUCAGUGUCGCAGCGAAAGCAUUAAGCACACCGCCUGGGGAGUACGACCGCAAGGUUAAAACUCAAAUGAAUUGACGGGGACCCGCACAAGCAGUGGAGCAUGUGGUUUAAUUCGAAGAUACGCGCAGAACCUUACCAACACUUGACAUGUUCGUCGCGAGACUAAGAGAUUAGUCUUUUCAGUUCGGCUGGACGAAACACAGUGCUGCAUGGCUGUCGUCAGCUC
RNAcentral lists this ribosomal RNA (959 nucleotides) under uncultured bacterium. Its description in RNAcentral is "bacterial SSU rRNA". It matches the Rfam family "Bacterial small subunit ribosomal RNA", at positions 56 to 1061 of the family's 1533-position model. The record is from RNAcentral.